RNAcentral lists this ribosomal RNA (1325 nucleotides) under Diederichomyces caloplacae. RNAcentral's name for it is "partial 28S ribosomal RNA". It matches the Rfam family "Eukaryotic large subunit ribosomal RNA", at positions 66 to 1411 of the family's 3401-position model. Lineage: Eukaryota; Fungi; Ascomycota; Dothideomycetes; Pleosporales; Phaeosphaeriaceae. The record is from RNAcentral.
CAACAGGGAUUGCCCUAGUAACGGCGAGUGAAGCGGCAACAGCUCAAAUUUGAAAUCUGGCUCUUUCAGAGUCCGAGUUGUAAUUUGCAGAGGGCGCUUUGGCGUUGGCAGCGGUCCAAGUUCUUUGGAACAGGACGUCACAGAGGGUGAGAAUCCCGUACGUGGUCGCUAGCCUUCGCCGUGUAAAGCCCCUUCGACGAGUCGAGUUGUUUGGGAAUGCAGCUCUAAAUGGGAGGUAAAUUUCUUCUAAAGCUAAAUACUGGCCAGAGACCGAUAGCGCACAAGUAGAGUGAUCGAAAGAUGAAAAGCACUUUGGAAAGAGAGUCAAAUAGCACGUGAAAUUGUUGAAAGGGAAGCGCUUGCAGCCAGACUUGCCUGUAGUUGCUUAUCUGGACUUUUGUCCGGUGCACUCUUCUGCGGGCAGGCCAGCAUCAGUUUGGGCGGUUGGAUAAAGGUCUCUGUCAUGUACCUCCUUUCGGGGAGGCCUUAUAGGGGAGACGACAUGCAACCAGCCUGGACUGAGGUCCGCGCAUCUGCUAGGAUGCUGGCGUAAUGGCUGUAAGCGGCCCGUCUUGAAACACGGACCAAGGAGUCUAACAUCUAUGCGAGUGUUUGGGUGUCAAGCCCAGACGCGUAAUGAAAGUGAACGGAGGUGGGAACCUUUUAGGUGCACCAUCGACCGAUCCUGAUGUCUUCGGAAGGAUUUGAGUAAGAGCAUGGCUGUUGGGACCCGAAAGAUGGUGAACUAUGCUUGAAUAGGGUGAAGCCAGAGGAAACUCUGGUGGAGGCUCGCAGCGGUUCUGACGUGCAAAUCGAUCGUCAAAUUUGGGCAUAGGGGCGAAAGACUAAUCGAACUAUCUAGUAGCUGGUUCCUGCCGAAGUUUCCCUCAGGAUAGCAGUAACGUAUUCAGUUUUAUGAGGUAAAGCGAAUGAUUAGAGGCCUGGGGGUUGAAACAACCUUCACCUAUUCUCAAACUUUAAAUAUGUAAGAAGUCCUUGUUACUUGAUUGAACGUGGACACUUGAAUGUACCGUUACUAGUGGGCCAUUUUUGGUAAGCAGAACUGGCGAUGCGGGAUGAACCGAACGCGGGGUUAAGGUGCCAGAAUAUACGCUCAUCAGACACCACAAAAGGUGUUAGUUCAUCUAGACAGCAGGACGGUGGCCAUGGAAGUCGGAAUCCGCUAAGGAGUGUGUAACAACUCACCUGCCGAAUGAACUAGCCCUGAAAAUGGAUGGCGCUCAAGCGUAUUACCCAUACCCCGCCGCCGGGGCAGAAUUUAUGCCCCGGCGAGUAGGCAGGCGUGGAGGCUCGUGACGAAGCCU